CUUUCUGAACAGGCUGGGGAAAGGAGGGUCUCCCUGACCUUGGCUGCAGCACGCUCACACCCCAAGCAGUGCACGCAUCGCUGGAGCUCUUGCUUUGAAGAACUGCACCUGACUUCAAGGUGAUUGUGAAUGCAGAGCAUGACCCAUUUUAAACAGGUCCAGUUGUCUUCGCAAUGGAGUGACCGGCUCCAGUGCAAGCAGUACGGGGUCCUGGAGCACGCACAAGCCAGGCUGGCUUUGGUCACAGAAAUGAGAUGAUUGGCAGAAGAGCCCCACUUCCCAACAGGAGGAGAUCUCAACAGCAGCCCCUGAAGCUGAGCACACAACUUGUCAUGGCUGGUUUUGUGCGGGUGUCACUGAGCCGCAGCUCUGCCUGCGAGCCCCGAUUGCGUUCAUAAGCAGAGUUGCAAAGUUCACUGUGCAGCAUUACAAAACUAAAUUAAUUAAUCUGUGUAAAAUGAUUCAGAGCCAAGCACUGUACUAUCCAUGAUAAUAAACUAACCAAACAAAAUAC
This is a long non-coding RNA of Prinia subflava (tawny-flanked prinia), 514 nucleotides long. RefSeq lists it as uncharacterized. The record is from RefSeq and is a predicted model, not a curated record. The transcript has 2 exons. NCBI's taxonomy places the organism in Eukaryota, Metazoa, Chordata, Aves, Passeriformes, Cisticolidae.